Molecule: ribosomal RNA, 250 nt
Filed under: Aspergillus niger
Lineage: Eukaryota; Fungi; Ascomycota; Eurotiomycetes; Eurotiales; Aspergillaceae
Description: partial 18S ribosomal RNA
Rfam family: Eukaryotic small subunit ribosomal RNA
Source: RNAcentral
UAUUUGAUAGUACCUUACUACAUGGAUACCUGUGGUAAUUCUAGAGCUAAUACAUGCUGAAAACCUCGACUUCGGAAGGGGUGUAUUUAUUAGAUAAAAAACCAAUGCCCUUCGGGGCUCCUUGGUGAAUCAUAAUAACUUAACGAAUCGCAUGGCCUUGCGCCGGCGAUGGUUCAUUCAAAUUUCUGCCCUAUCAACUUUCGAUGGUAGGAUAGUGGCCUACCAUGGUGGCAACGGGUAACGGGGAAUU